RNAcentral lists this ribosomal RNA (400 nucleotides) under Halamphora sp. RNAcentral describes it as "SSU rRNA". It matches the Rfam family "Eukaryotic small subunit ribosomal RNA", at positions 613 to 1025 of the family's 1831-position model. The record is from RNAcentral. Lineage: Eukaryota; Bacillariophyta; Bacillariophyceae; Naviculales; Amphipleuraceae.
UUGCAGUUAAAAAGCUCGUAGUUGGAUUUGUGGUGCUCCCUGUGGUCCGAUUUCGGUACUUUCGGGGAGUGCCAUCCUUGGGUGGAUCCUGUGUGGCAUUAGGUUGUCGCGCUGGGGAUGCCCAUCGUUUACUGUGAAAAAAUUAGAGUGUUCAAAGCAGGCUUACGCCGUUGAAUAUAUUAGCAUGGAAUAAUGAGAUAGGACCUUGGUACUAUUUUGUUGGUUUGCGCACCGAGGUAAUGAUUAAUAGGGACAGUUGUGGGUAUUCGUAUUCCAUUGUCAGAGGUGAAAUUCUUGGAUUUCUGGAAGACGAACUAAUGCGAAAGCAUUUACCAAGGAUGUUUUCAUUAAUCAAGAACGAAAGUUAGGGGAUCGAAGAUGAUUAGAUACCAUCGUAGUC